This 301-nucleotide ribosomal RNA is filed under the name uncultured bacterium. RNAcentral's name for it is "partial 16S ribosomal RNA". It matches the Rfam family "Bacterial small subunit ribosomal RNA", at positions 509 to 807 of the family's 1533-position model. The record is from RNAcentral.
CAGUAGCCGCGGGAAUACAGAGGGUGCGAGCGUUAAUCGGAUUUACUGGGCGUAAAGCGUGCGUAGGCGGCUAAUUGAGUCGGAUGUGAAAUCCCCGAGCUUAACUUGGGAAUUGCAUUCGAUACUGGUUAGCUAGAGUGUGGGAGAGGAUGGUAGAAUUCCAGGUGUAGCGGUGAAAUGCGUAGAGAUCUGGAGGAAUAACGAUGGCGAAGGCAGCCAUCUGGCCUAACACUGACGCUGAGGUACGAAAGCAUGGGGAGCAAACAGGAUUAGAGACCCCCGUAGUCCCUGUCUCUUAUAC